UACGUAGGGCGCAAGCGUUAUCCGGAAUUAUUGGGCGUAAAGAGCUCGUAGGCGGUUUGUCGCGUCUGCCGUGAAAGUCCGGGGCUCAACUCCGGAUCUGCGGUGGGUACGGGCAGACUAGAGUGUUGCAGGGGAGACUGGAAUUCCUGGUGUAGCGGUGGAAUGCGCAGAUAUCAGGAGGAACACCAAUGGCGAAGGCAAGUCUCUGGGCCAUUACUGACACUGAGAAGCGAAAGCAUGGGGAGCGAACAGG
This 253-nucleotide ribosomal RNA is filed under the name uncultured bacterium. RNAcentral describes it as "partial 16S ribosomal RNA". It matches the Rfam family "Bacterial small subunit ribosomal RNA", at positions 524 to 776 of the family's 1533-position model. The record is from RNAcentral.